GCGGGUCAAGACGGCCCAAGACGGUUUAAGGCAGCCCUUUAACGGGUCAAGGCGGCCCAAGGUGGGUCAAGGCGGCCCAAGACGUGUCAAGACGGCCCAAAGCGUGGCAAGGCAGCCCUUUGGCGGGUCAAGGCAGCCAUUUGGCGACCCAAGGCGGGUCAAGGGGGGGCAAAGCGGCCCAAGGUGAGGCAAGGCUGGUCAAGGCAGCCCAAGACGGGUCAAGGUGGGCCAAGGCGGGUUACGGCAGCCCUUUAACUGGUUAAGGCGGCCCAAGGCGGGUCAAGGCGCCCCAAAGCGGCUUAAGGCGAGUCAAGGCGGCCCAAGAUGGUUCAGAGCAGCCCCUUAACGGGUCAAGGCGGCCCAAGGCGGGUUUAGACAGGUCAAGGCGGCCCAAGGUGUGUUAAGGCGCCCCUUAACGGGUCAAGGUGGCCCAAGGCGCGUUAAGACGGCCACUUGGCGGCCAUAAGCGUGUUAAUACAGCCCAAGGCAGGUAAAGGCAGCCCAAGACGGAGAAAAGCGGCCCAAGGCAGGGCAAGGCUGGUCAAGGCGGGGCAAAGCGGCCAAAAGCGGGUUAAGGCGGGCCAAGGCGGGUCACGACAAGGUAGCCCUCAAGGAGUCAAGGUUGGUUAAGGCGGCCCUAAACGGGUCAAAGCGGGUUAAGGCUGCCCAAGGCGGGUCAAGGUGGCCGCUUGGCGGCCUUAAGUGCGGCCCAAGACGGGUCAAGACGGCCACUUGGUGGCCCUAAGAGGGUUAAGGCAGGGCAAAGCGGCCCAAGACGGGGCCAGGCUGAUUAAGGCAGCCCAAGACGUGUCAAGGCGGGCCAAAGCGGCUCACGGCAGCCCCUUAACAUGUCAAGACGGCCUAAGGCGGGUUAAGGCGGCUCAAAGAGGGUCAAGGCGGCCACUUGGCAGCCCAAGACGGCCCCUUAGCGGCUAUAGGCAUGUCACGGCGGCCCUUUGGCUGCCCUAGAUGGGUCUUGGCAGCCCAUUAGCGGGUUAAGGGAGGUUAAAACGGCAUAAAGAGUGUAUAGGUAGCCUUUUGGCUGGUCAAGGCGGGUCAAGGCAGCCUAAGGCGGUUCAAGGCAGCCCCUUAAUGGGUCAAGGCGGCCCAAGGCGGGUCAAGGCUGGUCAAGGUGGCCCAAGGCUGGUCAUGGAGUCCCAAGCGGGGCUAGGAGGGUCAAGGUAGCCCUUAACGGGUCAACGCGGGUCAAGACAGCCCAAGGUGGCCCUAGUUGUGUCUUGGCGGGACAAGACGGCCCUUGGCGGGUCAAGGUGACCCUAGGCGGUCGUAGGAGGGUCAAGGAAGCCCCUUUAACGGGUGAACCAAGGCGGGCCUAGAAGGGUCAAAACGGCCCCUUGGUGGCCCUAGACGGGUCAAUGCGGCCUCUUAACGACCUUAGGCGGGUCAAAGCGGCUCUUUGGAUGCUCUAGAUAGGUCUUGUCAGCCCCUUGGCGGGCCUAAAAGGCCCCUUCACGAGUCAAGGCGGGUCAAGAUGGCCACUUGGCAGCCCUAGGCGGGUCAGUGCGGCCCCUUGGUUGUCCAAAACGGGUCUUGGUAGCUCCUUGGUGGGUCAAGGCGGCCCCUUGGUGUCCUUAUACGGGUCUUGGUCCUAGUUGAGUCUUGGCGGGCCUAAGGGAGGUUAAAGCCACCCUAGGCGUGUAAAGGCAGCCCCUUGGCAGGUUAAGGCGAGCCUAGGCGGGCUUAAAAGAGUCAAGGCAACCACUUAACGGGUCAAGGAGGCCUAAGACGAGUCAACGCAGCCCAAGACAGUUCAAGGCAGCCCUUAACGGGUCAAGGGCGGCCCAAGGCGUAUCAAGGCGGCCCAAGGUGGGCCUAUGGGAGGUCAAAGCGGCCCUAGGCAUGUAAAGGCAGCCCUGUUGACCCGCCUUGGGCCGUCUUGACCCUUCUUGGGCCAACUUGGACCGCUUUGACCUGCCUUAACCCGCUUUGGGCCGCCUUCACCCUUCUUGACCUUCCUAGACCCUCCAAGGAGACCCUUUGACCCGCCUUGAUCCACCUUAACCCGCCUUGGCACCUUUACCCUUCUAAACCCGCCAAGGGGCCACCUUGACUCGCACAAGGCUGCCUUGACCCUCUUAGGCCUGCCUAGGGUUUCCAAGGGGUCGCCUUAACCCACCAAGAGGCCGCUUUAACCCUCAUAGGGCCGCUAAGGGGUUUCCUAGACCUUCUUAGACCCAUCUAAGGGCAUCAAGGGGCCGCCUUGACCUGUCUAGGGCCUCCAAAGGGUCGCCUUGACUCGCCCAGGGCUGCCUUGACCCGCCUUGACUCUCCUAGACCCUCCAAGGGGCCGCCUUGAUCUGCCUUAACCCACCUUAACCCGCCCAUGGUUGCUUUAACCCUUUUAAGCCCGCCAAGGGCCACCAAGGGGCCGCCAUGACCCUCUUAGGGCCGCCAAGAGGCCACCUUAACGCAUUUAGGGCCGCGAUGGCCUGUCAUGGGCCACCUUGACCCGCCUUGGCCGCCUUGACACUGAUACGGGCGCCAAGAUGUCGCCUUAACCAAUCUAAGGCCGACAAGGGGCUGCCUUGACCGGCCUUGGCCCGCCUUGACCCGCCUUGACCCGCCUCUGGCCGCCUUGACCCUCAUAGGGCCGUCUUGACCCGCCUUGACCCGCCUUGGACCGCUUUGACUCGCCUUAACCCGGCUUGGUCGCCUUUCUCGUCUAGGGCCGCCAAGGGGCUGCCUUGACCAUCCUAGGCUCUAUUAAGCCCACCUAGGGCCACCAAGGGGCCGCCUUAACCCGCCAAGAGGCCACCUUGACGCACCUAUGGCCGUUAAGGGAUUGCCUAGACCCAUCUAGGGGAACCAAGGGGCUAUCUUGACCCGUCUAGGGCCGCCAGGGGGCCGCCUUGACCUACUCAGAGCUGCCUUGACCUGCCUAGGGAUGUCUUGUCUUGACUUGCCUUGGCCGCUUUGACCCUCCUAGGGCCGCCAAGAGGUCGCCUUAACCCAUCUAGGGCUGUCAAGUGGUCGUCUUGACCUGCAUUGGCCCGCCAAGAAGCCACCUUAACCCAUUUAGGGCUGCCAAAUGGCCACUUUGGCCCGCCAUAGGCCGCCUUGACCCGCCUAGGGCUAUUUUGACCCUUUUAGGCCCGACUAGGGCAACUAAGGGGCCGCUUUGAUCCUCUAAGGGUCGCCAAGAGUCCACCUUAACCCAUUUAGGGCCGCCAAGGGGCCACCUUCACCUGUCUUGGGCCGCCUUCAUUUGUCUUGGGCCGCCUUCACCCGCCAUGGGCCACCUUGACCCGCCUUGACACUCUUACGAGCGCCAAGAGGCCGCCUUAACCCAUCUAGGGAUGCCAAGGGGCCGCCUUGACCCUUCUUGACCCUCCAAAGGGCGACCUUGACCCUCUUAGAGCCGUCAAGAGGCCGUCUUAACCCAUUUAGGGCCGCCAAGGGGCCACCUUGCCCCGCCUUGAUCCGCCUUGGCAGCCUUGACCCUCCAUGGGCCGCUAAGAGGCCGCCUUAACUCGCAUUGGCCUGCCAUGGGAAGCUGAGGAGAGAGAGAUUCGAAGAAGGGAAACUUUUCUAGGUUGCCGGCGAGUUCUCGAUUCCGGCCACGGCGGUGGGCGUGGAUGGUGUUGGUAGCUUUGUCUCGGUCUUGUUCACGUUCCUGUGCCUUCAGCUUGUUGAGAUGAUGUCCGGUGAGUGAGAACCGAUGUUAAGGAGUGGUUUAAAUUUUUCGACGAGAGUUCGACGGAUUCCGGUGUGCUUUGAUGUCGACUCAGGUAUGAAAAUGGGCUAGUUAGUCGAGCUCUACCUGCUUAUAUAAUUGGAAUUGAGAUUGGUUGGGAUUUGAAGAAGUUGGGUUUUGGCAGAGGAGGACCGCCGUGUGUGCUGCUGUGCACGGCGGCGGUGAAGGUGUUUGAUUCAUAUCUGGUUUCGAAUUUCAUAUUCUCUGUGUACUUGAGAUGCAGUUUUGAUUGAAAAUUGAAGGUUUGGAAUUUUGGAGUACUGUGUUGGUGUUGGCAUGAGCGGUAAUUGGCAGCGGUGAUGAUUUUGGAUUUGUUGUUCAUAUCAGGUUAUUGUGUUGGUGUUGCUGGGAGUGAGAAUAAUAAUCGUGUUACUCUGAUUUUGGUGGUUUCAUGUAUCUGUUGAUUGAUGAUGUUUUGUCAAAUGGAGGUUUGAUCUCAAAAAUGGAGGAAGUAGAAGAAAGAUGUUAAGUUGGAUAAUGAAAGUAUCUGUAGGUGUACUUGUUCCUUAUGAGUAAGUUCGUAUGCCUAGAACGAUAUUGUAGAAUGGUUAAAAAGAAUGAGCAUGGUAUUGGAUUUGGGAAGAAUUGCAAAAGCAAGAGGAAUCCCAAAUAGAGGUGUUGGGUGUCCAUAGUAAAAUCAGAGAUAAGUUAGUAAUUGAAGUGUUGAUAUGAGCAAGCUUAAAGGUGAAUUGGAAUGUGACGAUGAACUUAUUAUGAGCGAGCAUGGUAUGUAAUUAGGAAACUAUCGGAGAAAGUGAGAGGGAGUGUGGGAUUGAGAACUUGGGUGUCCUUAUCAAUUUGAGGACUUACACCCACACAAAUUCCAGAUUCGACACAGUUGUUAUUGAAGGUGGAGAAUUAGUAUAAAAUGAUGAACUACGAGUGGUUUGAUCCCUUUAAAAAGGUACGUAGGCAGCCCGAUCGAGUUUUGGGUGCAGCCGCAAAUUAACAAAAUAAAUUUAGGUUUCAAACACAACAAACCUUCUGUCUGUUUUGAGGUCCUACCACCGUUUCGAUUUAGGAUUUUCUUAGUUAUUUUAUUCGUUUAUUUUUCCUAACACCUGGGUCAGGGUGUUACAAAGACGACCCAAGGCUGGUCAAGGCGGGCCAAGGCUGAUCAAAGCGGCCACUUGACAACUCAAGACGACCCUAGGCGACCCCUUGGUGGUCCCAAAUGGGUCUUGGCAGCUCUUUGGUAGGUUAAGGCGGCCCCUUGGUGUCCUUAGACGGGUCUUGGAAGCCCUUUGGCGGGUCAAGCCAGCCCUAGUUAAGUCUUGGUGGGACUAAGGGAGGUCAAAGUGGCCCUAGGCGUGUAAAGGCAGCCCCUUAGCGGGUUAAGGCGACCCUAGGCGGGCCUAAAAGGGUCAAGGCAACCACUUAACGGAUCAGGGCGGCCCAAGACGGGUCAACGCAGCCCAAGACGGUUCAAGGCAGCCCCAUAAUGGGUCAAGGCGGCCCAAGGUAGGUCACGGCGGCCCCUUAACGGGUCAAGGCGGCCUACAAAGGGUCAAGGCGGGUAAGGGCGGCCCAACGCGUGUCAAGGCAUCCCAAGGCGUGUCAAGGUGGCCCAAGGAGGGUCAUGACGACCACUUGGCGGGUCAAGGCGGGUUAAGACGGCCCAAUGCGAGUCAAGAUGGGCACACUGCAGCCCUAAGCUAGACAAGGCGGGUUAAGGCGCCCAAGCGGGUCAAGGCAGCCCCUUAAUGGGUCAAGGCGGCCCUAAGCGGGUCAAGGCGGGGCAAAGCGGCCCAAGGCUAGGCAACGCUGGUUAAGGCAGCCCAAGACGGGUCAAGUCGGGCCAAGUUGGGUUACGGCAGCCCCUUAACGGAUCAAGGCGGGUUAAGGCAGCCUAAGGCGGUUUAAGGCGGCCACUUGGCUGCCCAAAGCGGCCGAAGACGGUCCCUUGGCGGUUAUAGGUUGGUCACGGCGUCCCCUUGGCGACGCUAAACGAGUCUUGGUAUCCCCUUAGCAGGUCAAGGCGGCCCCUUGGUGGCCCUAGACAUGUCUUGAUAGCCCCUUGGCGGCUUAAGAGAGGUUAAAGCGGCCAAAAGCAUGUAAAGGUAGCCUCUUAGAGGGCCCAGAAGGCCCCUUGGCGGGUCAAGACGACCACUUGGCGGCCCAAGGCGGGUCAAGACGGCCCAAUGUGGGGCAAUGCUGGUCAAAACGGCCACUUGACGGCCCAAGACGACCCUUUGGAGGCCCUAGGCGGGUCACGGUGGCCCCUUGGUGGUCCAAAACGGGUCUUGGCAGCUCCUUGGUGGGUCAAGGCCGCCCCUUUGUGUCCUUAGAUUGGUCUUGGCAGCCCUUUGGCUGGUCAAGUCAGCCCUAGUUGAGUCUUGGCGGGCCUAAGGGAGGUCAAAGCGGCCCAAGGCAUGUAAAGGUAGCCCCUUGGUGUCCUUAGAUGGGUCUUGGCAGUCCCUUGGCAGGUCAAGGUGACCUAAGACGGGGCAAUGCUGGUCAAGACGACCCUAGGCGAGUCUUGGCCGGCCCAAGGGAGGUCAAAGCGGCCCUAGGCGUGUAAAGGCAGCCCCUUGGCUGGUCAAGAAGACCCUAAGCGGCCGAAGGCAGUCGAAGGCGCCUCAAGGCGGCCUAAAACGGUUCAAGGCAGCCCCAUGGUGGCCCUAAACAAGUCUAGGCGGCCAUAGUUGAGUCUUGGCGGGCUUAAGGGAGGUCAAAGCGGCCCUAGGCGUGUAUAGGUAGUUCAACGCGGAUCAAGGCGUGUAAAGGUAGCCCAAAACGGAUCAAGGCGUGUCAAGGCGGCCCAAGGCGAGUCAAGACGGCUAAUUGGCGGCCCUAAGCGGGUCAAGGCGGCUUAAGGCGGGUCCUAAGGCGGGUAAAGGCAUCCUAAGACGAUUCAAGGCAGUUCCUUAAUGGGUUAAGGCGGCCCAAGACGGGUUAAAGCGGCCACUUGGCGGCCCUUUGCGGGUUAAGACGGGUCAAGACGGCCACUUGGCGGCCUUAAGCGGGUUAAGGCGGUCAAAGGUUUGGGCAAGGCUGGUCAAGGCGGCCCAAGGUGGGCAAGGCGGGUCGCGACAGCCCCUUAACAUGUCAAGGUGGGUCAAGGCGGCCCAAAAUGGGUCAUGGCGAUAACUUGGCGGCCCAAGGCGGCCCCUUAGCGGCUAUAGGCAGGUCACGACAACCCCUUGGCGGUGCUAAACGGGCUUUGGUAUCCCCUUAGCGGGUCAAGGCAUCCCUUUGGUGGCCCUAGACGGGUCUUGGCAGCCACUUGGUGAGUUAAGGGAGGUUAAGCGUGUAAAUGUAACCCCUUGGCUGGCCUACAAGGCCCGUUAGCAGGUUAAGGCGGCCCAACGCAAGUCACGACGAGUCAAGGCGGGUCAAGGCGGCUCCAAUGCGUCAAGGCGGCCCAACGUAGGUCACAGCGAGUCAAGGCGGCCUAAGGCAUGUCAAGGCUGCCCAAGGCAAGUUAAGACGGCCACUUGGCGGCCCUAAACGGGUCAAGGUGGCUCCAAGGCGUGUCAAGGCGACUCCAAGGCCGGUCAAAGUGGGUUAUGGCCGACCAAGGCAGGUCAAGGUGGGUCAAGGCGGCCUAAGGUGAGUCAAGGCAGCCUAAGACGGUUCAAGGUAGCCCCUUAACGGGUUAAGUAGGCCUAAGACAGUUCAAGGCAGCCCCUUAACGGGUCAAAGCGUGUCAAGGCUGCCCAAGGCGGGUCGAAGGCGGCCUAAGGCGGGUCAAGACGGCCACUUGGCGGUCCUAAGCGGGUUAAGGCGGCCUAAGGCGGGGCAAAGCGGCCGAAGGCGGGGCAAG
Molecule: long non-coding RNA, 7481 nt
Filed under: Fragaria vesca (wild strawberry)
Lineage: Eukaryota; Viridiplantae; Streptophyta; Magnoliopsida; Rosales; Rosaceae
Description: long non-coding RNA (FVES_LNC002741)
Source: RNAcentral